GACGAACGCUGGCGGCGUGCUUAACACAUGCAAGUCGAACGGAAAGGCCCUGCUUUUGUGGGGUGCUCGAGUGGCGAACGGGGGAGUAAAACGUGAGUAACCUGUCCUUGACUUUGGGAUAACUUCAGGAAACUGGGGCUAAUACAGGGUAGGAGCUCCUGCUGCACGGUGGGGGUUGGAAAGUUGCGGCGGUGGGGGCUGGACUCGAGGUUUAUCCGCUUGUUGGUGGGGUGGUGUCUUACAAAGGCUUUGAAGGUUGGCCGCCCUGGAAGGGAGACCGGCACCAUGGGACUGAGGGACGGCCCAGAAUGCCACCGGCCGCAAGGGGUGGGAAUAUUGCACAGUGGGCGGAAGCCUGAUGCAGCAACGCCGCGUGCGGGAUGACGGCCUUCGGGUUGUAAACCGCUUUCGCCUGUGACGAAGCGUGAGUGACGGUAAUGGGUAAAGAAGCACCGGCUAACUACGUG
Molecule: ribosomal RNA, 467 nt
Filed under: uncultured bacterium
Lineage: Bacteria
Description: partial 16S ribosomal RNA
Rfam family: Bacterial small subunit ribosomal RNA
Source: RNAcentral